RNAcentral lists this ribosomal RNA (732 nucleotides) under uncultured Bacteroidota bacterium. RNAcentral's name for it is "bacterial SSU rRNA". It matches the Rfam family "Bacterial small subunit ribosomal RNA", at positions 94 to 825 of the family's 1533-position model. Lineage: Bacteria; Pseudomonadati; Bacteroidota. The record is from RNAcentral.
AGUGUCGUAAGGGUGCGUAACACGUAUGCAAUCUGCCCUCAACAGGAGGAUAGCUCCCCGAAAGGGGAAUUAACACUCCAUAAUAUGGAGACCUGGCACCAGGUUUUUAUUAAAACUACGGUGGUUGAGGAUGAGCAUGCGCAUGAUUAGCUAGUUGGCGGGGUAACGGCCCACCAAGGCGAUGAUCAUUAGGGGAACUGAGAGGUUGAUCCCCCACACUGGCACUGAGAUACGGGCCAGACUCCUACGGGAGGCAGCAGUAGGGAAUAUUGGACAAUGGGUGCGAGCCUGAUCCAGCCAUGCCGCGUGCAGGAAGACGGCCUUCUGGGUUGUAAACUGCUUUUAUCUGGGGAUAAAAAAGGAGUGCGCUCUUAAUUGAAGGUACCAGAUGAAUAAGCCACGGCUAACUAUGUGCCAGCAGCCGCGGUAAUACGUAGGUGGCAAGCGUUGUCCGGAUUUAUUGGGUUUAAAGGGUGCGUAGGCGGUCUGUUAAGUCAGUGGUGAAAUACUUCAGCUCAACUGGAGAGGUGCCAUUGAUACUGGCGGACUUGAGUACUGAUGAGGUAGGCGGAAUGGACGGUGUAGCGGUGAAAUGCUUAGAUAUCGUCCAGAACACCGAUAGCGAAGGCAGCUUACUAAGGAGUAACUGACGCUGAUGCACGAAAGUGUGGGGAUCAAACAGGAUUAGAUACCCUGGUAGUCCACACUGUAAACGUUGAUCACUCGAUGUUG